AAAGUUAUAGUCAAAAAUGACAUUUGAGUUGCAUUCAAAAAGUGCUUAUACAAAGCUAACUUUA
This 64-nucleotide transfer RNA is filed under the name Typhlatya monae. RNAcentral's name for it is "tRNA-Ala". Lineage: Eukaryota; Metazoa; Arthropoda; Malacostraca; Decapoda; Atyidae. The record is from RNAcentral.